UUAAGCAGUGAUAGUCUCCAUUCUGAAGGGUUAGGAAUUUUACACAAUAUAAUGCAAGUAUGGGAAUGGUCUGCCUUGGAAAAAUAGGAUCUGCCUUAUGUUGAGCUUAGCCAUCCAUAGGUCUGUCUUUGUAAAUCAUUUAUCUCUUUGCUGCCCACUCAGCUAACACUUUUCCAUGCUCUGAUGGUUUGUUUUACAGAAGCCACUACAUCUAAGGAUUUGUGAAAUUUCAAUUCCAUGACCAAGAGGGUGAGUAGCCAAUUUGCCAGGACCCUCCCAGUGCCAUACAAAAUAUAUGUAAGUAAAGAGAAGAAGGGCACAAGGUCAUCAGAGGUUUGAUCUCUUCUUUUCCAUAAAUGAGAUAGAUACCCCUGAUUGAAAGAAAGUCUACCAGUAAAAAAUGUAAAAGCUUUAUUUGGACCCAGCAGGAACUGACUUCCAGUUUUCCACUGAAGGAUUUACAAGGAUGUGUUGACUGGAAGCUCUCUGCAGAAAAUUUGCAUCGGUUCCUGUGUCGAUUCUGAUGCUGUGAAUCCGACACCACCAGUUCGGACCAGUGAAACGGCGUAGCUUGGACUGCGGCUGCCCAAGGAAUUUCCUCUUCUCCUCCUCUAAGUGCUAUCUUGACAGCUGAGACCAGCCAGAGAGUUUUUGCUGACACACCCUGAAUUUGAACAUCUGGAGAGUGUAAGCUCUGCUUUCUUUGUGAAACAUCCUCAGCUCAGGAAUUUACUUCUCCCAGUGGCCUAGCAGAGCCGGCAUCCAUUGACCUUCAGGGCACAAUGUAAGGCCCAUCUGUUUUCUCAAAUUUUUGCCUGAGGGUCUGGCAGGGAGGCUCACGGUUAACUUGUCCUGGGGGAUUGUGUGCAGGAUGAACAGUGGCCAGCCUGGUAUGUAUCUGGUUUUUUAAACAAUGUAUAUGUGUCCAGACUUUUACAGGGAAAUUAAACAAA
Molecule: long non-coding RNA, 953 nt
Organism: Harpia harpyja (harpy eagle)
Lineage: Eukaryota; Metazoa; Chordata; Aves; Accipitriformes; Accipitridae
Exons: 3
Source: RefSeq, a predicted model, not a curated record